This 465-nucleotide ribosomal RNA is filed under the name uncultured bacterium. RNAcentral describes it as "partial 16S ribosomal RNA". It matches the Rfam family "Bacterial small subunit ribosomal RNA", at positions 339 to 795 of the family's 1533-position model. The record is from RNAcentral.
CUACGGGAGGCUGCAGUGAGGAAUUUUGCGCAAUGGGGGGAACCCUGACGCAGCAACGCCGUGUGAGUGAAGAAGGCCUUUGGGUCGUAAAGCUCUGUCAACUGGGAAGAAGUUACUAUGCUUAAAUAGAGUGUAGUAUUGACGGUACCAGUGGAGGAAGCGUCGGCUAACUCCGUGCCAGCAGCCGCGGUAACACGGGGGACGCAAGCGUUAUUCGGAAUUAUUGGGCGUAAAGGGCGCGUAGGCGGUCUUGUCGGUCAGGUGUGAAAGCCCGGGGCUCAACCCCGGACGUGCACUUGAAACAGCAAGACUUGAGUACGGGAGAGGAAAGCGGAAUUCCUGGUGUAGAGGUGAAAUUCGUAGAUAUCAGGAGGAACACCGAUGGCGAAGGCAGCUUUCUGGACCGAAACUGACGCUGAGGCGCGAAGGCGUGGGUAGCGAACGGGAUUAGAUACCCGCGUAGUC